RNAcentral lists this transfer RNA (112 nucleotides) under Colletotrichum zoysiae. RNAcentral's name for it is "tRNA-Thr". It matches the Rfam family "tRNA". From Rfam's summary of the family: Transfer RNA (tRNA) molecules are approximately 80 nucleotides in length. Their secondary structure includes four short double-helical elements and three loops (D, anti-codon, and T loops). Further hydrogen bonds mediate the characteristic L-shaped molecular structure. tRNAs have two regions of fundamental functional importance: the anti-codon, which is responsible for specific mRNA codon recognition, and the 3' end, to which the tRNAs corresponding amino acid is attached (by aminoacyl-tRNA synthetases). tRNAs cope with the degeneracy of the genetic code in two manners: having more than one tRNA (with a specific anti-codon) for a particular amino acid; and 'wobble' base-pairing, i.e. permitting non-standard base-pairing at the 3rd anti-codon position. Lineage: Eukaryota; Fungi; Ascomycota; Sordariomycetes; Glomerellales; Glomerellaceae. The record is from RNAcentral.
GCCCGAAUGGCUUAGUGGUAAAGCGUCUCACUAGUACUGGCUAUCCCAGUCCAAGGACCGGGAGAGUGAAGACGAAAUGAGAAGAUCGCUAGUUCGAUUCUGGCUUUGGGCA